Suricata suricatta (meerkat) is the source of this 590-nucleotide long non-coding RNA. RefSeq lists it as uncharacterized. Lineage: Eukaryota; Metazoa; Chordata; Mammalia; Carnivora; Herpestidae. The transcript is spliced from 2 exons. The record is from RefSeq and is a predicted model, not a curated record.
CCUGGCCCUGCUUCUUCAUCGAGUGCCUUUCUCACAGAGAAAUGAAGGCCCUCAAGUCAGCCCGAGUGGCACAGGGCCCGAAGAUCUCUGGGGCCACAGCAGGGGCAGUGCUGGCAGCUGCUGGUCUGCACACUGGCUCUCCCCACUACUGAGCAAGUGAGCUUUCUGCCAAGCACCAUGAUGGGAGGGGACAGCUGCAGCCCUCCUUGCCCCCCUCCCCCAGAACUAUAAAAAGCCCCAACAUCCAAGUGAGCAGAGGACACGCUGAGCAGACGUGCAGAACUUUGCUGGACUUGAGCUCGGCUCAACUGCCAUGCUGAGGUUAGCCUCCGCCAGCAGGCUGCUGUCAGCCCCCCGGAGUGGCUGGGUGCUUCCCAAGGCACAUGUCUCCGCCAAGCCAGCCAGAACACCCACUUCUCCCACGGAGCAAGCCAUUGGGCUCUCAGUGAUGUUCCUCAGCUUCCUGAUGCCUGCAGGCUGGGUCCUGCACCACCUGGAGAGCUACAAGAGAAGCUCGGCAGCAUGAAGGCUCUGGGGCUCCAGCUCCAGGCACAGAAUGAAAGAUCACAUUAAACGCCUCCCUUCACUUA